CUCUUCGAGCGAGACCGUGACCUUGUUCCAUGCUCAGAUCUAUCCUUGGAUGGUGAAAUAGAUCGAGACCGAGACCUACGCUUAUGCCUUUCCUCUCGAUCAUAAUCCCUUCUUCUGUAAUAUAAACUAGUUUUUUAAGGAAAACUGAAAAUGAACAAAAACAACAAUUCCAAAAGAAACAAGAUUACUAAAAAUUCAUGACCGGGCAAAAAUAAAUUAGGCAUCAAUAUUGCAAAUCAUAUAUGAGCUUUUAACCUGUCGCGGUCACGGUCACGACUUCUGUGAGAAUCACCAUCAUCCCUAUCUCUACCCCUUUCCCUAUCUUUUCUGUCACGAUGUCGAUGAUCUCUGUGGUGAUCCCUUUCCUUCUCCCCAUCACCACGAUCUCUCUCUCUGUCUCUAUCUCUAUCUCUGGGCCGAUCCUUUUCU
This 429-nucleotide long non-coding RNA is filed under the name Medicago truncatula (barrel medic). Its description in RNAcentral is "lncRNA gene21540". Lineage: Eukaryota; Viridiplantae; Streptophyta; Magnoliopsida; Fabales; Fabaceae. The record is from RNAcentral.